AUACGUAGGGGGCGAGCGUUAUCCGGAAUUAUUGGGCGUAAAGGGUGCGUAGGCGGCCUUGUAAGUCAGGUGUGAAAGGUUACGGCUCAACCGUAAUUAGCACUUGAAACUGUGAGGCUUGAGUGCAGGAGAGGAGAGUGGAAUUCCUAGUGUAGCGGUGAAAUGCGUAGAUAUUAGGAGGAACACCAGUGGCGAAGGCGACUCUCUGGACUGUAACUGACGCUGAGGCACGAAAGCGUGGGGAGCGAACAGGAUUAGAUACCCUGGUAGUCCACGCUGUAAACGAUGAGUACUAGGUGCUGGGGGAGACAUCCUUCAGUGCCGCAGUUAACACAUUAAGUACUCCGCCUGGGGAGUACGGUCGCAAGACUGAA
RNAcentral lists this ribosomal RNA (374 nucleotides) under uncultured bacterium. RNAcentral's name for it is "bacterial SSU rRNA". It matches the Rfam family "Bacterial small subunit ribosomal RNA", at positions 523 to 898 of the family's 1533-position model. The record is from RNAcentral.